RNAcentral lists this transfer RNA (118 nucleotides) under Bacteroides sp. RNAcentral describes it as "tRNA-Phe". It matches the Rfam family "tRNA". From Rfam's summary of the family: Transfer RNA (tRNA) molecules are approximately 80 nucleotides in length. Their secondary structure includes four short double-helical elements and three loops (D, anti-codon, and T loops). Further hydrogen bonds mediate the characteristic L-shaped molecular structure. tRNAs have two regions of fundamental functional importance: the anti-codon, which is responsible for specific mRNA codon recognition, and the 3' end, to which the tRNAs corresponding amino acid is attached (by aminoacyl-tRNA synthetases). tRNAs cope with the degeneracy of the genetic code in two manners: having more than one tRNA (with a specific anti-codon) for a particular amino acid; and 'wobble' base-pairing, i.e. permitting non-standard base-pairing at the 3rd anti-codon position. Lineage: Bacteria; Pseudomonadati; Bacteroidota; Bacteroidia; Bacteroidales; Bacteroidaceae. RNAcentral also lists the same sequence under 4 other names. The record is from RNAcentral.
GGUGCAAUAGCUCAGUUGGUUGCAUUAAAAGUCGAGCCUUUAGGCGAGGCUUUUAAUGCCGAAGAAGAGCAAAGGACUGAAAAUCCUUGUGUCCCCGGUUCGAUUCCUGGUGGCACCA